This 430-nucleotide ribosomal RNA is filed under the name uncultured bacterium. RNAcentral's name for it is "partial 16S ribosomal RNA". It matches the Rfam family "Bacterial small subunit ribosomal RNA", at positions 29 to 507 of the family's 1533-position model. The record is from RNAcentral.
AACGAACGCUGGCGGCAGGCCUAACACAUGCAAGUCGAACGCCCCGCAAGGGGAGUGGCAGACGGGUGAGUAACACGUGGGAACCUUCCCUAUAGUACGGAAUAGCCCAGGGAAACUUGGAGUAAUACCGUAAACGCCCGAAAGGGGAAAGAAUUUCGCUAUAGGUUGGGCCCGCGUAGGAUUAGCUAGUUGGUGAGGUAAUGGCUCACCAAGGCGACGAUCCUUAGCUGGUUUGAGAGAACGACCAGCCACACUGGGACUGAGACACGGCCCAGACUCCUACGGGAGGCAGCAGUGGGGAAUAUUGGACAAUGGGCGCAAGCCUGAUCCAGCCAUGCCGCGUGAGUGAUGAAGGCCUUAGGGUUGUAAAGCUCUUUUGGCGGGGACGAUAAUGACGGUACCCGCAGAAUAAGUCCCGGCUAACUUCGUG